Molecule: non-coding RNA, 631 nt
Organism: Styela clava
Lineage: Eukaryota; Metazoa; Chordata; Ascidiacea; Stolidobranchia; Styelidae
Source: RefSeq, a predicted model, not a curated record
AGUUUGAUUCCCUCCGUUGUUUUGAGUUGUAGGAGAACGUUUCUUUUUACAACAGAACCAACAAAAACAGCACAUUCCAAUUACUCCAACAGGAAUACAAACGCUUAUAAUAAUGAUUUGUGUCCUUGCAUGAAAGAAAUAAAAAGUAUUGAGCUCUUAUGGAUUUAUCCCACGCAAGUCUCAUUGAAAGUGGCAACUGUGUAUCUUCGGACGCGGUUAACUACUCAAAAGAAUUUUAAACAUUUCAUACUCUGUACGAUGAAAUUUUUCUUUUACUUCUACAUCAUAUUCUGCUUUCGAACAACAGGCAUUAGAGGAGCAGCAACGUCUUCCAAUUGGGCAUUCCAUGUGCCAUUGACAAUAUCGACCUUACAAAACAACAUUGAACACAAUCAACAGUAUGAAAAGAAAAGUAGAAUAGAAUGUGGUCUGUUCACAAAAUAUAUAUAUAUACACCCUCCGCCUUGACAAAAAAAACAGAACAGCUAUUCAAGUUAUGGUACGAUGUAAUAAAGAACUAUAAUCAAUAGCAAACUGUAAUUUAUCCCAGCCACUCGGGGGUGUUGUGAACUGAACUAGUAGUAUUCAAGUACAUACAUUUGUUCUUACAAUAAAUCUUUCACAAUUGCGA